GUCCUUUCCCCCUAGUGUGAGUAAUGCUGUAGUAUUCCCAAGAAGAAAUCCAAGCGGUAAUAAAGCAGGUAUAGCUGUUCCCUACAAUCACGAGACAAGGCUCUGAGUUGAGGGUGAAGUGGAACUGUUUUAAUGAAAGCCAUAACUGAGCUUACAUGCAAGUCCCCAUGAAAGGGGUUUCGGAUUACAUAUUCCAGGGGCAUUCCCCAGUGGACCAGAG
Non-coding RNA from Pelobates cultripes (western spadefoot toad), 220 nucleotides. Lineage: Eukaryota; Metazoa; Chordata; Amphibia; Anura; Pelobatidae. The record is from the annotation of a GenBank genome assembly.